Molecule: ribosomal RNA, 1344 nt
Filed under: metagenome
Description: bacterial LSU rRNA
Rfam family: Bacterial large subunit ribosomal RNA
Source: RNAcentral
AGCUGAGGUGUGAUGCGGACCGAAAUUUCAGUAGGGAAGCGAGUGAGUUCACGCUGGCGAGAAAAGCUGCUAGUACGUCCAAAGGUACCCGUACCGGAAACCGACGCAGGUGGGCGAGGAGAGGAUCCUGAGACGAACGGGAGAACCCUUGUUAAGGAACUCGGCAAAAUGACCCCGUAACUUCGGGAUAAGGGGUGCCUGCGAGAGCAGGCCGCAGAGAAUAGUCACAAGCGACUGUUUAGCAAAAACACAGGUAUCUGCGAAAGCGAGAGCUGACGUAUAGGUGCUGACACCUGCCCGGUGCUGGAAGGUUAAGGGGACAUGUUAGAGCAAUCGAAGCAUCGAACCGAAGCCCCAGUAAACGGCGGCCGUAACGAUAACGGUCCUAAGGUAGCGAAAUUCCUUGUCGGGUAAGUUCCGACCCGCACGAAUGGUGUAACGACUUGUGAGCUGUCUCAACAGGGGGCCCGGUGAAAUUGAAGUAUGGGUGAAGAUGCCCAUUACCCGCGACUGGACGGAAAGACCCCGUAGAGCUUUACUGCAGCCUGAUAUUGAGUUUCGGUAACUGAUGCACAGGAUAGGUGGGAGUCUGAGAGACAUGGGUUUCGGCUCAUGUGGAGACGGUGUUGGGAUACACUCUUCGGUUACUGAAAUUCUAACAUAGCUCUGUGAAACCAGAGGAUGGACAGUGUCAGGUGGACAGUUUGACUGGGGCGGUCGCCUCCGAAAGAGUAACGGAGGCGCCCAAAGGUACCCUCAGAAUGGAUGGAAACCAUUCGAAGAGCGCAAAGGCAGAAGGGUGCCUGACUGCGAGAUUGACAAAUCGAGCAGAGACGAAAGUCGGGCUUAGUGAUCCGGCGGUAUUGAGUGGAAAAGCCGUCGCUUAACGGAUAAAAGCUACCUCGGGGAUAACAGGCUGAUCUCCCCCAAGAGUCCACAUCGACGGGGAGGUUUGGCACCUCGAUGUCGGCUCGUCGCAUCCUGGGGCUGAAGCAGGUCCCAAGGGUUUGGCUGUUCGCCAAUUAAAGCGGCACGCGAGCUGGGUUCAGAACGUCGUGAGACAGUUCGGUCCCUAUCCAUCGUGGGCGUAGGAGUCAUGAGAGGAGCUGUUCCUAGUACGAGAGGACCGGAAUGGACGCACCACUGGUGCAACUGUUGUCGUGCCAACGGCAUAGCAGGGAAGCGAAGUGCGGAUGGGAUAAACGCUGAAGGCAUCUAAGCGUGAAGCCCACCUCAAGAAUAAGACUCCACAAUAGACCCCUGGAGGACUACCAGGUAGAUAGGUCAUCGGUGGAAGCGCUGUAAGGCGUGUAGCUUGAUGAUACUAAUCGGUCGAAAGCUUCU